This 207-nucleotide ribosomal RNA is filed under the name uncultured bacterium. Its description in RNAcentral is "partial 16S ribosomal RNA". It matches the Rfam family "Bacterial small subunit ribosomal RNA", at positions 568 to 774 of the family's 1533-position model. The record is from RNAcentral.
CGCGCAGGCGGCCAUUAAAGUUUGACGUGAAAGCUCCUGGCUUAACUGGGAGAGGUCGUUGGAAACUGAAUGGCUUGAGGCAAUGAGAGGGGUGCGGAAUUCCCGGUGUAGUGGUGGAAUGCGUAGAUAUCGGGAGGAACACCAGUGGCGAAAGCGGCACCCUGGCAUUGGACUGACGCUGAAGUGCGAAAGCGUGGGGAGCGAACG